Long non-coding RNA from Solea senegalensis (Senegalese sole), 1789 nucleotides. RefSeq lists it as uncharacterized. The record is from RefSeq and is a predicted model, not a curated record. NCBI's taxonomy places the organism in Eukaryota, Metazoa, Chordata, Actinopteri, Pleuronectiformes, Soleidae. The transcript is spliced from 2 exons.
CCGAACCUCUCUCCGCCCACGUUCACCUGACGGCCGUCGGGGAGCUGCCCCGCAGACACAAGACAAGGUCAUAUGAUCCAUGGAUAUUCUCUCCAACGAUCAGAGCGGUUCUGAAAAAUGUGGCUGUUGAACGUACCGUGAACGACUCCAUCAGGUAGGUGGUUUCCGUGGCCAGUCGCUGCUCUUGCUCGAUGUUGUAUCCGACAUAGCAGAGCUUCUCCUUCAGUAUGCGCACAGUCUCAAAGUCUGCUGAGUGGUUGAAGGCGUAGCCUCGGAGCAGCAGGAGCUGACAAAAGAGAUGGAAAACUGGGAUCAGAGUACUACCUGGUACCACUUAUUUCUUCACAUGUGAUCUCAAUGUCAGACCUUUGGCUGCUGGAGAGGCCGCAGACUCACCUUGAUGAGGUAGCGCGUGAUGUCGCGACCCGCGAUGUCCAGCCUGCGAGUGAGGUGGGGUAAGGAGAAACCCUCGUACACCGGACAGAUGUGGGUGACGCCGUCGCCGGAGUCAACGACCACACCGGUGAGCAGUCCUGUAGACCAUAGAACAUUUCAAGAAUCAUGUGAACCCUUCGUGAUUCAGCAGAGGGGUUUUCAAUUGAAUCCAAGGGAAGCAGCUGGUGGAAGUUUACCCUGAGCGUAGAGCGUGAGAACGGCCUGAAUGGCCACGUAGAUGCCGUGGAAUUGAUACUUUUCAAACAUGACCUCCGUGAUCUUUUCCCGGUUCUUGGUGGGGUUCAUGGGCGGCUCGGUCAGCAGGAUCUAAAAGAAGGGAAAUCAUAUGAAUACAGCUGUGUGAAGGUUUUGUGUAUAUUAUGUAGAACAGUGUUAGCUAAAGUGUGGGUCGAGGAGAUAUUGUAAGUGGUCCUCAGGCAGGGAUAUAAAAAUUCUUCCACUUCCACCAAAUUAAUCAGAACCAGAGACCAUAUAUAACAAAUUUGGAUGUUCUAGUUUGCUUGGUGAGGUCAACCAGGAAGUAGGAUUACAUUACCACCAGGGGGCCAUUUGUAAUUAAGUUUCCACCUAAGUUCAGAUCUUCAGCAAAAAAAAAGAGAAAGAUUAAACCUUUUAAUUCUGAACAAUUGACCGUCUGUUUUCCCUCUCUUUCAUUAGUACCCUACAAAAACAAGCAUAUACAACAUUGACCUUGCAUUCUUUUGGGUCAAUGUCCAGGCGGUCAGCGCCGAAGGUGUAGUCCCACAGGUGAAGCAUGUCCUCCCACGAGCGCACCAUGCCGUUCUCCAUGGGGUAAGAAAUCUCCAGCAUGGAGCGACACUCGCUGGCCUCAUCCCCCACCAUCAGGUCCUGGAGAAGAAGGAGAAGACGACGUUCAAACCAAACAUCCGAAUAAGGAAGAAAUUUGAUUAUAAUGACUUUGAAUGUUUGCCGUAAGUAUUAAGAGCCUCACCUUUAUCUCAAUGUUGCCCACUUUGGUGCUGGAUCGCAGGAUUGGUCGACCCACCAUGGCGGGGAAGAUGUGAUCGGGGAAGUUCGCUCCAGCGAAGCCACAUUUAACGAACUGUGGAGAAAUAUUAAAUGAAGGAAAUUACUUUUUUGUGCAAGACUACUAAAAAAGUAUUUUUUAAUCCCAGACCAGGGGUUCUCAAACGUCUUAUGCCAAGUACCACCGGAGGAAGCUUGCGUACCACUGGUGGUACACAUACCACAGUUUGAGAACCAUGGAUCCAGAAAUCUUAAUCAUUCGAAUGUGCUUUUAAACAUACGACUUAUACUAAAACUCUGAGAAUUAUCAUAAUAAAUAAAACUGCCUCUGUCAAAUUCAAUCAUA